AAGUUGUUGCAGUUAAAAAGCUCGUGGUUGGACCUUGGGUUGGAUAUACCGGUCCGCCUAUGGUGUGCACCGGUCAUCUCGUCCCUUCUGCCGGCGAUGCGCUCCUAGCCUUAAUUGGUCGGGUCGUGCCUCCGGCGCUGUUACUUUGAAGAAAUUAGAGUGCUCAAAGCAAGCCUACUGUCACGGGCCUAGUUUCGUUACACCCGAACAAACUAGAACCGUGCGGCCUUAACGUUCUACAAUUCCCGCACCUCACGAGAAAACGUUAAGUCAGCCUUUCUACGCCCACAAAUAAUUUAACCAAUGAGGCUAAAUUAUACCCACGUUGAGAAGAGAAUUUUGAAGUAAGUAAUAUAUGGAAAACAAGUAAAGGAUGGGGAAACUUUCUUUAUAUAAAUGAAAGGAAAAACUUUACAUUCUCUCUUGAAAGAAUAAACUCACUCACUCUACAUUCUCUACCAUCUACUACACACCAUUUACAAAUGAGACUACACCUCUAUUUAUAGGAAAACUUAAACCUCCUUAACCUUCAACUUUACAACUUGCGCUUAGUUGUCACCACCUCGUGCUUAGUUGUUGCCAACUCAUUCUUAGUUGUCUUCAAGUGGAUGGUAUUACAACUUGGCCUUGCAAGUUGUCGCCAACUCGUGCCUAGCUUGCAUACAACUCGCGCCUAGCUUGCAUCGUUGAUAUUUAUCCUUGCCAACUCGCGCUUAGCUUGCAUACAACUCGCGCUUAGCUUGCAAGUGGCACACAUGUGGACAAGUUGUGCAAGUUGCCAACUUGCAUCCUCAAAAUAUCCGGCUGCAGGUUCAUGUAUUUUACCUCCCAAAAUGGCUAGGUUGAGACUUAGAAAAACCUCAUUAAUACCCAAAAAAAUGCAUGAUCUAGGCAGCCUGCAUUCUGUCCCAAAACAGUCCACUUGCGUCCCCAGCCUGAAUCUGCCUGCAUCCUUUGCCGAAUCUGCUUGCGUCCCCUAUCGCAAGCUGUUCCGUCCUUCUGAAACGCGUUACCCGCGCUAUCUUGCGAUCGCUACCGGGACGAAUCGGUCACGACCGCGUGGCGUCAGUUACUCCCCCACUGAAUUUGGCGACGCACUCAUCGCCUUGUACCGCCGAAGCAUAGACCUUAUUUGCCAUAAGUCUAUCUCGUUUUCUCACCUUGUGCCAUGACAUUCCCAUGUCAUGCCAAACCUUAAGUCAUGAUCUUGCGAUCCGUGACACUACGCUCUGGAUACAUUAGCAUGGGAUAACAUUAUAGGAUUUCGGUCCUAUUACGUUGGCUUUCGGGAUCGGAGCAAUGAUUAACAGGAACAGUCGGGGGCAUUCGUAUUUCAUAGUCAGAGGUGAAAUUUUUGAAUUUAUGAAAGACGAACAACUGCGAAAGCAUUUGCCAAGGAUGUUUUCAUUAAUCAAGAACGAAAGUUGGGGGCUCGAAGACGAUCAGAUACCGUCCUAGUCUCAACCAUAAACGAUGCCGACCAGGGAUCGGCGGAUGUUGCUUAUAGGACUCCGCCGGCACCUUAUGAGAAAUCAAAGUUUUUGGGUUCCG
Molecule: ribosomal RNA, 1551 nt
Filed under: Olea europaea subsp. europaea
Lineage: Eukaryota; Viridiplantae; Streptophyta; Magnoliopsida; Lamiales; Oleaceae
Description: Eukaryotic small subunit ribosomal RNA
Rfam family: Eukaryotic small subunit ribosomal RNA
Source: Rfam by way of RNAcentral